AUUGGGCGUCCCUCUUCAGACACUAGAUUCUGGGUCCAGAAUAGUCUUCACAACUCGUUUUGAGGGUACUUGUGGUAAAAUGGGAGCCCAUAAGAAUCGGUACAAAGUGUUUUGUUUGGGAGAUGACGAUGCCUGGAAAUUAUUUGAGGGGGUGGUCGGGAGAUACGUUCUUAACAAGCAUCCCGACAUUCCGAAGUUAGCCGAGGAUGUGGCACGUCAGUGUCAUGGUUUGCCGCUAGCACUCAAAACAGUAGGUAAUGCCAUGGCGAGCAAAGUGUACCCUGAAGAAUGGAAAGAAGCAAUUGAGAUCCUAAGCGCAUCAGCUUCUAAAUUCGAAGAUAUGGAGAAAAAGGUGCUUUCGAGCUUAAAGUUCAGCUAUGAUAGUUUGCCGAAAGAUGAACUUCGAUCUUGUCUCCUGUACUGUUGCUUAUUUCCCGAAGACUCUGAAAUUCUAAAAACCGAGUUGAUAGAGUAUUGGAAAAGUGAAGGAUUUGUGCAUUCUAGCAGCGGGUGGGGGGUUCUUGGUGCUCUCGUUCGUGCAUGCUUAUUGGAGGAAGCAGGUGAUCGUGUAAAAAUGCACGAUAUGAUCCGUGACAUGGCAUUAUGGAUAGCAAAUGAAGUAGAGGAGGAGGAGGAGAACUUUUUGGUUCGUGCAGGAGUUGGAUUAACUGACGCCCCAAAGAUUGAAGAAUGGGAAGGGGUCAAAAGGAUAUCCUUGAUGCAGAACAAAAUUCAAAGUCUACCACAAAUUCCCUCUUGUCCGCGUCUGCAAACAUUGCUUCUGGCGAGUAAUCGUAUUAAGGAGAUCACUGAGAGUUUCUUUCAAUCUUUGCCUUCACUUAGAGUUUUGAGUCUAAGAAGAAAUCGUUCCCUGACUGAACUUCCUGUGGGGAUUUCAAGUCUGGUUUCAUUACACCAUCUUGAUAUGUCUUCUACUAAAGUACGUGGAUUGCCGCAAGAGCUCAAGGCAUUGGUGAAUCUGAGAUAUUUGAACUUGGAGUAUACACGUGGAAUGUCUAGAAUUCCACAGCAAUUAAUAUCAAGCUUUUCAAAGUUACAGGUACUCAGGAUGCUGCGUUGCGGUCGACGUUACCAGCCAAUAGUGGAAGAAGGCAACGUUCUAUCUGCUGAUGCUGAAUCAUUGAUGAAGGAAAUCCACUGUUUGGAACAAUUAAAUCUCAUCACCUUGUCCUUACAUGGUUCGCGUGGUGUUGAAAACUUUCUGAAAUUCCCAAAGCUGCAGAAUAUCACUCAAGCUCUGUCCAUCGAAGACUGCAACAGUCUACCGCUCAAUUUGUUACAUCUAGCAAACAUGGAGCAUCUUGAGGAGUUAUAUAUCGAGGAUAGUAAUUUGGAAGACUGGAAUGUCGACUGCGCGGGAGAGGUACAAAAAAUGCGUAAACUUCACUCGGUUCUCAUACGGAAUUGCUCAAAUGUGAAGGACUUGACGUGGCUUGUUUUUGUUCCAAAUCUCAAGUGGCUGCGAAUAGUUGGUUGUGAUGACAUGGAAGAAAUAAUCAGUGUUGAAAAAUUUGAAAAAUUGAGUGAAGUUUCAGAGAUGAUGGGAGAGCUUAACUUGUUCUCAGAACUCGAACUUCUGGUAAUAAGAAAUGCAAGUAAUUUGGAGCGCAUCUACCGCGAUCCCUUGCCCUUUCCACAGCUGAACCGAAUUAGCAUAUUGAAAUGCCCAAAGUUGAAGAAGCUCCCACUCAAUUCCAGCAGCGCAAAGGGACGUAAAAUUGCCCUUGCGGGACAGAAAGAAUGGUGGGAAGAGCUACAAUGGGAGGAUCAAGCCACUCAAAAUGCUUUCUCUCCCUGUUUCCGACCUAUUGAAGAAUAAAGUGCGAUAAGGCACAAAAGUGUGAAUAAAAUUUCUGCGCGUGCUUAAUGAUUAUCUUGUCUAUCUAUUUCAUUUAAUUUAAAAGUUUUCUACGGAGUUGCAUGUGUGUCACUUGUCAUUCUUCUGUACUGCUGUUUCCUAUUUCCAGUUAAUAAAAUUUUUUUGUUCUUAGAGUUAGAAAUGCUUUACUUGUAAGGGAGAUUCACAAUUUUCCCAUAUUAUGAUUAAUAUAUUCUUUUUACUUUCCUACUAUUUUGCAUAAUUUUUUAAUAUUAUUUUUAUUUCUAAAUAUAUUUUUAUUCAUAUUUAUUAUAAAUUAAAUAAAUGUAUGAAUAGAAAUAAAAAUAAAAAUAAAAAUUAAGUAUUAAAACAAGAAAUAUAUAUUAUGAUUUGAAUAAAAAAUAAAUAUUUUUUUGUACUUAGAAUGCCAUUUGUCGUGAGCACCUGAAUCCCCAAAGGACUCCCAGCUUCAAGUGGCUUUGACUUAGCUUGCUUUAGCUCCAUUGCACAUACUCACUCACAUGGAGGAAAUGAACAGAACAAGAAACCUCAUCAUGCCGAAUAUGAUAGAUAUGACAAGGCAUUACAUUGUAGGAAGCUCCCGAUUUCUCUAAAAAACUCUGCAGGUUCUCCGCAAUCAAGGCGUGCUCCAUCUUUAACAGAUCACUUCUACCAUUAAGAGAAGGAAGAGAGUUCCUCUCGUGUGACAGUAAAUCCUUACUUAACACAGGAUUGGAGCCAACCAAGAAGGGAAGGCAAUUUCGUUAGAUUAAGAAUCGAAUCACCAUCCAAUAUAGUAGCAUUUGAACCAGAACUCUUGUUAAAUUCUUGAAAUCUCCUGCUUUCAUCAGUCUGUAAGAGAAAUGAAGAUGAGAAUAAUAGCCAGAACCGGAUUAAAUUCAAUCUGGUCUUUUGAAGACUUCUAUAACAACUAAGAGAACCCAGUGUACCGCCUACAGAUACUGUCAGGCUUCUAUCAAAUAUCCCAAACACCAAAAACCAACCAAAUUAAGCUAACAAACCUGCAUGAAUAUCUAAAUUUCAAUGCAUAUGAAACAAACUCCAUGUUCAAUCCACCAAAACUAGCAAAUUUCAAACUUUAUCACUCAUCAUUCUCUCUCUGUCAGCUGUACGAGGCUAUGAGAUCAUGUUAUAAUGUUCAUAUUGAUGCUGAAUGUUUUGCCAGCUUGUCUGAAUUCCAUAAGAGAAUGCAAUGUGCACAUUAUUGUGCCUUGCCCACCAGUAGAUUCUAAACCACAAAAUCAUUCUGUGAAGUAGCUGACGUUUCGCACAUUCUUAUCCCUUACCAUCAAUAUUCUUCUCCUCAAGCUUAGAUCAUGGAAAUUUGAGUGAUAACACGAUCUAAACUUUAGGGGCAUAAAGUAACAUAGAAGCAACAUGGGAUGUUUUAAAAUCUAUUAUAAUUUGCUUAGGCCCCUGAAUAAAAUUAAAACUUGAAAUGAAAUAAAGUAGCAAAAUAAAGAUUGGAGGUCGCAUGCUUGAUAUUUGAUGCUGUCAAAAUUAAUUUGCAGUGCUGAAAUUGCUGCUCCAAUAAAUUUUUCAAUGGGAUUUCCAUAUUUACAACAAAUUUUCAGUAUUGAAACAGGAUUAAAAUCAUAAAGUGUCUUUUAAACAGCAGAGGCAACAAGAUCCUACAGAAAAAGAAGGCAAAAAGUAGUUACAAGCUACAGAAACGCAAAUAUUCUACUGGCCAACUCCCACUAAAUUCGAAGCGAUUCUAAAAUCUCAGCUUGUACUACUACAUCAUUCCUUCUAUGUAGCCCAACUGUACUUCACCCAGAAAUCACAUUUCUUCAUCAGAGAUAAUUUUACAUCAUUCCUUAUCAUUAGGCAUAAGGCUCCCAAUGUUCUUGGAGGAAUUAUGAUGAAUAUGAGGGUUUCAAAAAAGAAAAAAAAAUAUUAUGACAACCUCUAGGCGGAGGAAAUCAGUUUUCUAGGAAUUCGUUAGAUUGGUGAAGUUAUAGAACCUUAGCAAUUUGCUGUAGUUUGGAAUGUUUUUGCCUUUCAUUAUAGCAUUUGCAAAGGCUCAAGGAUAUAGAAGAACCUUGGCUACAAAUUCAGGGAAGAUUUCACUUAUAAUGAGAAAUAAUCACCAUUAUUCUAUACAAUGAGAAAACAGUUAUGGAAGAAAUAGAAAGAAUUACCCGAAACGAAGGAUUUGGAAGACAAUGAGACAAAAGUAUAAAGAAGAAGAAAUUGGAGAUAUAAUGGCUGCCAAUUUCUUUGAUGAACCCAUCAAAAACGGCUUGAAAAUUAAAGAAAUUGUCAAAUGCUGUAACGGAGGAAUUGAAACUGUAAAAGAUGCAAGUUAAUUCAUGGGGCUGGCCAUCUUGAUUGAUUGAACACCUACACGUGACAAGUGUGCGAUAAUCGUUAUAUCUUCAAUUUUAGGCAGUUUUUCAUUUCUUUUAUUUUAAUAGUAAAAAAAUACGCCAUUUUAGAUACAAAUGCCCCUGACUAGCCCUUUUGUAAGUUACAUUGUUUGGUGCGAUAGUCCCGCACGUGCUUGACAUUUGCCGAAUAUCUUAUGCGCAUUUUUUUUCCCCUCUAACUCAUUGUGUAUGCUCAUCUUUAUGUGCGUUAUUACCUAAACUUAUAUACCAAUCAAAAUAAAUCAUAAAGUAUCAAACGCUUUUAAAUGAUUUUUAAUAUUAAAGAACUCACUUUAAUGAUGUUUAAUUGGUAGUAGCCCUUUAUAGUCUUUAAACCUUUAGCAGUGCAAAGUCACAAGCUUUGUCCAGAAUCUAAUGGCGUAGAUUAUAGGCGAUGGGUGCCAUCACCUGGGCAACGACGUACAUCGCUUGGGCGACAAGCCAAUUUACUAGGCUCAUCGCAAACAGCCUUCGUCGCCUGGGCGAUGGCCAAAUCCAUCCAAUAAACUUUCAGCUCAUGUUUGAUAGCCUAAAAAAAGUAGUUAUGGUGACCAUCACACAUCACAUUUUACUGACAAGGUGUCUUAAUUUUCAUAGAAAAUUGUUCCUACUGAUUUUCCAAUCCUGGCCUAAUACUUGCAGAUUAUUAAACGAUUAUGGAAUGGCAGCAAACCGGCGCCGCGGAGGGGGGCCGGCCCGGGGUUGUUGUGCUGAUUUGGGAGGGGUAAUAAACCCUCUGAGGCAAUUUAGCAAACAUAUUAUGUGCCAUGAUUUUAGACCAGUAAUUUUGUCAAUAAUAGCUAAUUCGCAAUCCCAUUACAAAUCUAAUAAUCUAUUGCAUACACGCUCUUGAUGACUUGGAUUCUCAAAAAAUAAUCAUUUUACGCCGCUGAGGCGCAGAAAAAUCAAUUGUGUUGUCCCUUUAUACUUUUUCAUUUGUUUUGCCCACGUCCAAAUAAAACAGAUUCUGGUAAAUGUGAUAAGGAAAUGUUUGUUUCAAUUUCCAACCCAUAUCUCAUAAAGAAUUUCUCACUCAAAUAAAUAAAUAUUAUCCGGUAAUGGUAUGACAUUUAUUUUGAAGUAAACACCGGCACGCCAUUUUCUCAUUUUUUUCAUUUUUUGAGGACACCAUUUUCUCAAUUGAAGAAUAUAUUUUGGCCAAAAUUCACAAUGUUCUCCACAUGAUUUAAAGCACACAGAAUUCACACUUGUCUCCACAUGAUUUAAAAGCACAAGGAAUUCUCUUGACCUUAAUUACGAAUCUUUUUAUGUUUAUUGAAAUCCAAUAUUGUUGACUCAUUGGUGUAGCCAGAAAAUCAUAUUAAUAUAGUAGAAUUUAUAAAUAACCAAAGAAAAAAGUUCACGCUCUUACUUUAUUACUUUUAUAAUUUUAUUAGUACAUCUACUAACAUGUCUUCAUAAAAUAUAGUUUUAAGAGGAUAUUUUUAUGGUUGUAGAUAUUUUUAUUUUUCUUCUUAAUAAUAGAUUUAAUUUUCAUCUUUCUAAUGUUAAGUUGCACAUUUGGACUAAAUCAGAUUAAAUUUCAAAUUAGAUGACAGGCCUUAUUUUAAUAGAUUCAAUUGGAUUUUGGACAUCUAAUUAAACAACUGGAUUAAUAAAUUGCAAAUGAAUGAGAUUUAUAUGUGAUUUUAAAAUAAAAUUUGAACUUAAAUCUAUGUAUUCAAUUAAUCCAACAAGACAAAUUUAUAAUUUCUACCACCUAAAUAAAAUAUGUUAUCAGAAACUUUUGGACCAAGUAGGGGCAGUUCAUCACUUCGUCGGCCUGCUACUACUUAUACUCCUUUCUCAUUCAACUUUCACAUCUUUUAUAUUAUAUACAAACUAGAUUUGUCAUGCAAGUAUUUGACAGAAGAAAUCUCAUUGGAAAUCGGACAACUUCAAGAAAUUCAUUUAUUGAAUUUGUCACAUAAUUGCUUGUCGGUUUAUAAACCAAAAAGGUAUUCCAAAUUAAAAGUGGUAGAGAGCCUAGACUUUUCUUACAACAGAUUAAGUGGUAGAAUUCCUCCUUAAUAGACUGAGCUCAAUUUUUUGAUCUGUCUUCAAGACGUCAUACAACAACUUGUCCAACCUGAUACCAAACAAAGAGCAGUUUGCCACAUUCAAUGAAGGCAGUUAUGGAGGAAAUCUGCAUCUUUGUGGUCCAACAGUUAAUAAGAGUUGCAACAAUGCGGAGGAAAUACCAGCAAUAGAAUCCAAUCGAGGAGAAGAUGAAGAUGAAUGUGCAAUUGAUAUGGUGUCAUUCAGUUGGAGUUUCGGUUCAUCAUAUGUCACAUUCAUCAUGGGGUUUUUCGCGAUACUUUGGAUAAACUCAUACUGGCGCAGAAUGUGGAUCUAUUACAAUCAUGUAUUCACUAGGCCAUACGCGUGAUGUGCUUUUCUGCUAAAACUAGUUCACAAAUGUGAUUUCAUUAAAAUUAGUCUAUACACAUCUUUCCCUUGGCUUUUGUUGGCUCCAACUCCGGACUUUUAUUCAUAUCAUUACUUUAUGUAGUUUCCCCAAAAGGCUUGUGAUGAUUAAUGCAGUUUAUAAAUUAUUACUACUACAAUAAUGAUAUAAUAAAUAAUUUUUUUUAAGUUGUAAAAGUGAGAAAUACUAAAGAGAUCUUUAUUACAUCAUUAAUGUUCGAUCAAGAAUUUCCUCAUCCGAGCUUGCAGUCUGUGGAGGAGACUGUAUCAAUGUCGAAAUUCUCCGGACCGGCACUAUUUGCUGUUUCUCCAUUGAAUAGUGCGUCUUACUACAACAAGGUGAAACACAGCCCAGUGUUCUGAUUGGGCCCAAUGCGAAAAACAUAAAACCCAAAUUUUUGUUGACUUUGGGCCUGCUCAAAUACCAUGCCCAAUUGUGUCUAGUUGUAACAAAAGCGGCGAGAUGUUCAUGCCCAAACCCGCAAGAUUGUUUUAAUAUUUAAAAUUUAACAUGAUUCUAGAAUUUUUGUUAAUAAAAAAUAAACCACCAAGAUUCUAGUGAAUAACAAAUGUAUACAUAUACACGUGCUGUGUAGACCGGGCCAAUUCUUGUGGAAUUCUCCAACAACCAUCCUGAUUCUUGAAUUGCCGCGAAAAUUCCGCAAGCGAUGAACCCUCUCUUACGCACCACUCAUUCUCUAUCACAAUGAUCAAAAUAAAGACGAGGACGGAGACUAUUAAUCACUGAGAGUGAUUUUCUCAAUAUUUGUCAAUCACUACUAAGAUUCAUUGUCAAUCAAUAAUAUCAAUUGACACAAAGAUUGAUUGUCUUUUUUUUUUUUUCGAGAAUAUCAGUGCUUGAAUACAUUAUUUGAUAUAUAUAAUUCAAUGUAAACUCAAUCAUACUCUUAAAUUAUUUUUAUAAAUUCUCAAUAUCAGUCUUUGAUUUUAAUUCGAGUUUUGAUUCAAAUUAAUGCAAGGAUACAAAAGGACUCAAGAGCUUCAUAUAUCAAUUCUAUGUUAUUAACUUAUUAUUUCGGUGUACACCACAAAUUUAUGAGUAAUUUAUUAAAAUGUCUAAACAUAUAUGAAAAAUAGUUGAUUAUUGAUUUUCACAAAUUUCAAUAUAUCAAACAUCCUAUCGAGUUAUUAAUUCCAAAGCACAUUAUUUAAGAAUCAAUGCUAGAAUAAAUUAUUUGAUAAUUUCAAACCCAAAUUUACGCUUAAAUUCUUUAAAUUAUCUCAAUCAACUUUUUUUUUUCUUAGCUGACCAUCUAUAUCAGCUAUUGGAAAAAAAAAUAGAAUUGACGACUACUUGUAUGUUGGCCUAAUUUGAAAGUCAAUCAACAUUUAUUUUCCAUGUAAUGUUAAUGAAGCAUUUCCCUCAUUGGUCCAACAUUGCAACAUGUGGAAUUUCAGGCUUACAAUUCCUCAUUAGUCAUUACAGAUACCGAAAUUGAUUGUCAGACAAUAUUGUCAUUUCAAUAUAUGCCACAAUUUUAUGAGUAAUUUACUAAAAUCUUUAAAUAUAUAAAAUUUGCAUGUGUGUAAUAAACCUGUAUUUAUAUAUAAAAUUUGCAUAUUUAAAUUGCACCUCUCCAUGCAUCAUAUAAAAUGUCAUUUCAAUGUGAUCCACACUUUUAUGAGUUAAUAACUAAAUAUUGUCACUAAAUUUUUCCUAAUUGUUGCAUGCAUUAGAUUUUUUUACGAAAAAAAAAACAUGCUACAUUAAGUGUAAAACAAUUGAGGAAAAGAUUAGAGAACACAAUGAGAAAAGAAAUUUUUUAUACAACCUUUUCAUCAAUAAAAAUCAUAUUCAUACUAAUCAAUUCUUCAUUCCUCUUGGUAUUAACAGACUCUCACAUCCUACAAAAUCUAACCCUUAUCAUCCAACUAUCUUUAUCAUUAUUUAACUCAUGAAGAAAAGAGUACUCCAUGAAGCACACAAUACUAAAAAUUCAAAUAAGUCAAAAAUAAAAAUGCAAGAAUAUUUCUAAGGAGGAUGUUGGUUAAAUAAUAAAAAACCCAAACAUAACAAAUCUUAAAUACUUAAUGUUUAUAGACUUUGAAGAAGUCAAAAGACAUUAAACAAAAUGUUGCAUAAUUAAAUAUGGAAUUAUGACAUUAAAAUUAGGCCCUAAUGGCAUUGGUGAGUGAAGAUGAAGGAACCUUCCUUCCUAUAUUAAUUAGUUGAUGUAUUUUAAGUCACUAAAGUUUAGUUGUUGGCUUAAUAAAAUAAAUGAAUGUUUCAAGACUUAUAAUUAAUUAUUAUUAAUGGUUGCAUAUUAUUGAAUUUAAAUAGAAAGAGGAAGAGACAUGUAAUUUUUUGUAAUCUAAUAAUUAUUUUCUAUUUUGUAAUGUAAUUAUUUUUUAAUCUCAACCAAUAUAUUAGAUAAUAGAGAAUAUAAAAAGAUAAGAAAUAAUGAUGUCACAAAUCUUAAAUACUUAAUGUUUACAGAGUUUGAAGAAGCGAAAAUGCACUAAACAUAAGGUUGCAUAAUUAAAUAUAGGAUUAUGGUAUUAAAAUUAGGCUCUAAUGGCAUUGUUGAGGGAAGAUGAAAGAAACUUUCUUCCUAUAUUAAUUAAUUGAUGUAUUUUAAGCCACUAAAGUUUAAUUGUUGGCAUAAUAAAAUAAAUGAAUGUUUUAAGACUUAUAAUUAAUUAUUAUUAAUGGUUACAUAUUAUUGAAUUUAAAUAGAAAGAGGAAGAGACAUGUAAUCUUUUGUAAUCUAAUAUUUAUUUUCUAUUUUUAAUAUUUUGUAAUGUAAUUAUUUUUUAAUCUCAACCAAUAUAUUAGAUAAUAGAGAAUAUAAGAAUAUGAGAAAUAAUGAUGUCACAUCACCUCUUGUAGUCCCAACUCUCUCUCUCUCUCUCUCUCUCUCUCUCUCUCUCUCUCUCUAUAUAUAUAUAUAUAUAUAUAUAUAUAUAUAUAUACAUACAUAUUAUUUUCUAAAAAGUAUUUCUAAUUGUUUAACGUUUUAUUUAUGAGUAUUUUUAAGAGUUUAAAAAAUAUGGGAAACAGAAUCAAUUUUAUCAAAUAAAAAGAAUAUUGGUCAUUUUCUUCAUAAAGAAAGUGUUAAAAUACUUUUGGUAUUUAAGAAGUAACAAUUUUUUUUUUUGUUUCAUAAAAAAAGCAUUCAAAAUUAUAUUAAAUAAAAUUAAAGAUUAACAAAACUGACGUCUGAAUUUCGUGUAAAUUAUAAUAAGUUUAUCUCCAGCAUGAAUGACAUUAUAGCGUGGCUAGCAUCAUCAAAAUUCUGGUAACAUUCCAAGGUUGUCAAACUAAUCAUCUCAAAAUGUCAUUAUACUUGUAGCGUGCGGGCAUCAUCUUUACUUUCAGCAUCAAAAUUCUUUUAUUUAAUACACUUUUAUUUUAUACAAUUUUUAUCAUAUUAAAAUCCUUUGUAAUUUAAGCUCUCUCGGACUUUUAAAAAUGUUAUGCCACCCCUUCUUUAGCAGUAAUAGUAUAUGAUUAUGAUUUAAUUAUUUUAUUUUUUAAUUUAUCAAACACCAAUCACUUAAAUUUAACCUAAGAAAAAAUUAGAACAUCAGAUAAUUUUAAUUGAUUCUUAUUAAGUACUAGAAUUAACUGCUCCCAAUGAUAAUUUAUUAAGCAAACCAUAGUGAUCAUCUUACACUAAAGAACCAACCCAUCUUCAAAACACAAGAAUUUAGUACAAAUAAUUAUCCCAAUAAAGUUUAACGAAAAAGGAAAGAGAUAUUUUUAUUAUUUCUUUUCCUUUCUUUCAUUUCAAUUUCUUGCCUCCUGAGCUCUUCUAAAAGCCAACCAAACCACUUAUUUAAAAAAAAAAAAAAGGAACCAGACAAAGCGCAAGAAAAAAAAUUAAAAAAUUCGCAGUCUACACACAUCCCAGCACCGUAUGCGUCCAAUAAUUCAUCUCCAAUAAUUGCCCCUAUAUGACCACCGGUUUGUACUUGCAUAUAUGUGAAACAGGAUAAAAUCACAAUGUGUCAUUUAAUUAGCAGAGGUAACAAGAUCCUACAGAAAAGGGUUUACAGGAAAAGAAAGGAAAAAAAAUUGUUACAACAUACAGAAACCCAAAUAUUCUACUGGCUAACCCCCAUUAAAAUUCGAAACCAUUCUUAAAUCUCAGCUUAUACUACUUCAUCAUUCCUUCUGUGUACCCCCAACUGAAUUUCUGGCAGAAAUCACAUUUCUUCGUUAGCCUCAACUCAUGCAUCUUUUACUUUUAAUCAAACAUACUUUUUUAUCUGCUGGGCUUUUUAACAAAGAAUAAUUUUCCUUAGAUCUUUUCUAAUAGACAAGAAAGCACAAAGCACAAAUAUCUAGGAAUGUUUUUGCCCUUCAUCAUAGCACUUGCAAAGGCUCCAGGGUAUAGAAGAACCUUGGCUACAAAUUCCUGGGAAGACUUCACUUAUAAUCAACUGGAAGGAUGUCACCUCUACGGGCGUUGUACAUUUUCCACUUCUACGUGGUAUCCUGCAGAAACAAACAAUAAAACACGUGUUAUACAAGUAUUUUUUAAGUAUGAAAUACAUCAAAAGCAUUUAUGAUGCCAUUAAGUUUAGUCAAUACAAUCUCUCAAGGCAGGACAAGAGAUUUGAGAUUCAAACUCCACCUACGUAGGAAAGGAAUGUCAAAAAGAAAUGCGGUUGGGAUAGGUUAUUACGUUUUAUUCUUUUUAUUACUAGAAUUGAAUAAUGCUGCCUUUGACAGUAAAAUAAACGUCAAGUGAUAAUUGAAUUAUAAAAAAGUGAGGUAAAUGGUGAGAAAUAAUCACCAUUAUAAUUUAUAAUAUAAAAUGAGGAAAUAAUUAUGGAAGAAAUGGAAAGAAUUACCUGAAAAGAGGGAUUUGGAAGACAAUGAGACAAAAAUAUAAGGAAGAAGAAAUCGAAGAUAUAAUGCCUGCCCAUUUCUUUGACGAACCUGUAAAAUGUCGUGAUUGAGGGAAUUAAACCGUAUGACGUUUAUGAAAUACUAACUAGGCAACCCAAGAGGGGGGUGAAUUGGGAUUUUAAAAAUUAUCCUAGGCAAACCACACAACAAUUUAAUCUAAUGCCUUAAUAAAUUCGAAAACAAUAAAUUCAAUAAAAGCACAAUAAUAAAUGAGUAAGGGAAGAGAAAGCAAACCCAAGGAUUUUUACGUGGUUCGGCAAUCCCCGCCUACGUCCACGCCUCCAAGCACACCGGGCUUGAGGAUUUUACUAAGCUAGCCUCCCAAGGCUUCAAACGCUUACAAUUGACUUCCAAGGUGUCAAUGGACCUUUACAACAAGAGAUUAUCCCCAAUCUCUUAACCCAAGUGUAUCCCAACACUUACAAUCUUUUAACUUGAUUUUACAAAAAAGAUUACAAAUGAAUCUCUCUCACACAAUGUGUUUGAUCACAAGUGAAAGCUCAAUGUGUGAAUGAAUGAGAUGAAUACAAAGAUUUAAAGCUCAAUGAAAGUUGUAUUCUCAAUAUUUUGCUCAAUGAUGAUCGUUGGAAUUCUUCUUGUUUGAAUUGGAUUGAGAUUAUUUAUAGUUGGAGCUGAAAAACUAGCCGUUAUAGACUGUCUGCUAGAAAACGGUUCGCCGUUAACCAUUAACGGUUAACCGUUUAGGCCGGUCAAAGUUACCGUUGGGCCAAUUUUCAAAUAAACGGUUAGCCGUUUAUUCUUACCCUUUCGCCGUUAAUUUCCAGAGACCUGCAAAACAAAUUUGGUUUAACCGUUCUUAUUAAACGGUUCAAGGUUAACAAUCUGGAAAUAAUCGGUUAACCGUUUUCAGUAAACGGUUCACCGUUAGUUUCCAGAAUCAUCAUUUUAAUAAUACUUUACAGAACAUGCUUUCUGGAAAUUAUCGGUUAGCCGUUUUAAAUAAACGGUUAGCCGUUUGCUACAGUGAUUGCUACAGUGAAAAUAUUUUCUAAAUUUAUAAUUUAACCCCAAAACUUUAUAAAACUUUAUUACGGCCCAAAACGUUAUGAAACUUUGCACAUAGGUCCAAUUUCAGAAUUUCUAAAUAAUACUUUGUUAAUCCCAAAACUUUUUGAAAUUAUGGUAUAGCCCAAAAUGUUAUGAUACUUUUCAAAUAAGUCCUUUACCAAGAUUUCAAGCAAUACUUGUUUAUUUCAAAGUUUUCAAAAUUCUUUCAAUUAAACCAUAAACUUUGAAAAACAACCAAUUUCAUAAAAUCAUUUUUCCAUUAAAUAUGAAACAUUUAUAAUGUGAAAAUAAUGAUUUAUUUAAAAAGAAUAAAAACAAUCAAUUUCAUAAAAUUAUUUUUCCAUUAAAUAUAAAACAUUUAUAAUGUGAAAAUAAUGAUUUAUUUAAAAAGAAUAUUAAAUAAUUUGAGCUUAAAAGAUUAAUCAUUCUUAAUCUUAUUUGUUAUCAUCAAAAUCAAUAUUAUGAAAAUAUAUAUGUUAACAGUUUACUUUGGCGGCCCCCAGUCUUGUCAAUCAGAGAAUAUGUUUUGGCCGAAAUUCACAAUUCUUACCACGUGAUUUAAUUAAAGCACACAGAAUUCGUAAUUUUCUCCAGACAAUUUAAAUUAAACCCGCACUCUUUAUGGACUCCACUUUUAAGAAGGAUAUUGCCCACCGAGCAAACUAACCAAAACUCUUUUCCCUUCUGCGUUCAUUCUCCAACUCGUUGUCACUUUGUUUUGCUCUUCCUCUCUAUAUGAUUUUUAAGAACUAUUAAAUGUUUGUUUGUUUCUUAAAAAAAAUGUUUGUUUUUUUUUGUAUUAGAUGAUUAUAAAUAUUUAUUUAAUUUUAUAUUUUUUUAAAUUUUUUAUUAUUGUUUCAUUAUUUUUUAGUAAAUUUUUAAAAAUUAAAUAAAUUAUUUUUAUUUCUGUUAAUAAAAAUUUAAACUUUAAAUUUUUGAGGGAUGAGAUUUAUUUUUUUUAAAUAUUAAAAUACUUAAAAUAUCUUUUAUUUAUGUAAUAAUUUUAUUUUAUUUUUUUGUUAAAUAAUUUUAAAAAAAAUUAUUUAUUAAAAUAAUUUUAUAAUUUUUAAUAAAAACUCUUAUUAUCAAUUAAAUAACUAAAAUUAUUUUCAUAAAAACUUUUAUAAUAAAAAUCCUACCACACCGCAGAGUCUGCACUUACCUGCGCGUACUGUUUAAAACCCCUCACCGGCUCUGCUCUCGCCACCAAUAUUAAGAAAGAUACUUUGUUGUGGUGGCAUUUUGGUAAAAAAUAUGGGCCCCCAAAAUAAUCAUAAUAAUUAAGGAUUUAGCUAUGUGGCAACGGGUACACCAUACACUUUUUUUUUUUUUUUUUUUGUGCUGCCACAGUUAGAUCCAACACAAAAGUAGUAUUAAGAGCAAGAUGUGUUUGUUUGUUUAUUAACAAUGCAAUCCCUAAUAUUUGUCAAAAAUUUUAAAAAGUUAAAGUUUAUAAAAUUUUGUGCCAAUAUUUUUUUCCCAAAUUCUCUUAGCACAAUUAAUUGUGUUAUGGUAUCCACUUUUGCAGGUUAUAAUCAAGAGAUCAGACAUGAUAGAUACAUAAAAAAUAAUAUAAAAUAAAAAAAUUUUGAAUUUUUGUUAAAGCUCUCAUUUCUAAUAAUUUGUUAAAAUAUUCUUUUACCUAAGAAAACAAACUCAUUGACAUAAUAAAAAGAGUUUUACUGAUAAAAUAAUAAUUAUUCAAUUAUUAGAAGUGCUACAGUUAGAUUUUUUUAAGUUGAAAAUGUAGAGAAGCAUGGAGGAGAAGAGGAGAAGAAGACACAUAAUAAAACAUAAAAAUUUUCAAUUUAUUUAUACCUGAAUUCCAUUGUAUGAUGAAUAGAUUGUAGGUACAAAAAUAUAUUUAUGUGAUUUUCUUUUAUAUAAAAAGUUCAAUUCAUUAUUGCUUAUAUGAUAUAGAGCAAAUUAAUCUUAAGGUAAUGAGAAAGUAGCUUCAAUGAGAAUGCCAAGCUUCUCUUAUUGAUUGUAAUUGAUUGAUUACAUAUUUAAUUAAAAAAAUUCAAAAGGACGUAGAGGUGAGGGUUUUGAAGAAAGAGAAAAAAGAAAUUACUUCAAUAAUUUGUAAAUACAGAAGAGAUUAGGGGGUCAAAAAAUACAAAAAGUAGGGUAUGGUGGACCCAUUGUACCGUAGCUCAACUCAAGCCAAUAAAUUAAUUGUUUUAUCCUAUAAAUAAAAAUUAAUGUUGUGUAUUUGCCUAUAACUUGAGGAGGUAAUAAAAGUCUUUCGUUAUACUCUACUGUUAGUUUCUCGCCUUUUAUUCCUCUGAAAUCUUUCAACAAAAAUGGGUGGCGUCAUCUCAACCUUCUUAUCAGCGGACACAAUUCGUCCAAUUUUAUCUUACGUUGGUGGAGAAGCUAAGUAUAUAUGGGGUCUAAAAGAUAAUCUUGAUGACUUGCAGACUCAGAAGGAGAAGUUGAUUGAGAAAAAAGAAGAUAUGCUGAAUGAGGUUGAGCUUGCUGAACAACGACCCCGAACCAGACGGACGAGAUCGGUGCAACGCUGGUUUGAAAGAGUGGAUCGAAGGGUAACUGAAGUUGAGAGGCUGCAACAAGAAAGAGAUCAAGAGAUUGACAGAUUGUGCCUUGGAGGCUUCUGUUCCAAGAACUUGAUCUCAAGCUACAGCUUCGGGAAAAGAGUGGAGAAGAUGAAGAACGAAGUGAUCGAAUUGAAGAAAGGAGGAGAAGCAAUCAAUCCACUUUAUGAGGAGGUACCAGAAGGUGCAGCGGUUGCAAUAGCUGUUGACCGAACAAUUGUCGGUCAAGAAUCAAUACUAGACCGAGUUUGGAGAUGCAUCACCGAUCAAGAACAGAAUAAGGGAAUUAUUGGCUUAUAUGGUAUGGGGGGCGUCGGCAAAACUACUCUGUUAAAGCAAGUCAAUAACAAAUUCUGCAGUGAUGAACAGCAUCAUUUUGGUGUCGUUAUCUGGUCGGUUGUGUCGAGAGAGCCAAACUUGAAGCAGAUUCAAGUGGAUAUUGGAAAAAGGAUAGGCUUCUCAACAGAUUCAUGGCAGAGAAAAAGUUUUGAAGAAAGGGCUUCAGACAUCACCAACGCUUUAAAGCAUAAGAAGUUUGUAUUGUUAUUGGAUGAUAUAUGGGAGUCCAAAAUUGAUUUAACCGAAUUGGGCGUCCCUCUUCAAAGAUUAGAUUCUGGGUCCAGAAUAGUUUUCACAACUCGUUUUCGUGGUACUUGUGGUGAAAUGGGAGCUGACGAGCGGUUCGAAGUGUCCUGUUUGGGAGAUGACGAUGCCUGGAAAUUUUUUGAGGGGGUGGUUGGGAGAUACGUUCUCGACAAGCAUCCCGACAUUCCGGAGCUAGCCAAAGCUAUGGCAAGGCAGUGUCAUGGUUUGCCGCUAGCACUCAAAACAGUAGGUAAUGCCAUGGCGAGCAAAGAGUACCCUCAAGAAUGGAGUCACGCCAUUGAGAUCAUAAGCAGAUCAGCUUCUAAAUUCAAAGAUAUGGAAAAACAGGUGCUUUCGCGUUUGAAGUUCAGCUAUGAUAGUUUGCCCACUGACGAACUUCGUUCUUGUCUCUUGUACUGUUGUUUAUUUCCGGAAGACUCUGAAAUUCCAAAAACCGACUUGAUGGAGUAUUGGAAAAGUGAAGGAUUUGUGGAUUCUAGCAGCGGGUGGGGGGUUCUUGGUGCUCUCCUUCGUGCAUGCUUAUUGGAGGAAGCAGGCUUAGUGGACGAAGGAGGUAAUCGUGUAAAAAUGCACGAUAUGAUUCGUGACAUGGCAUUAUGGAUAGCAAAUGAAAUAGAGGAGGAGGAGGAGAACUUCUUGAUUCGUGCAGGAGUUGGAUUAACUGACGCCCCAAAGAUUGAAGAAUGGGAAGGGGUCAAAAGGAUAUCCUUGAUGGAGAACAAAAUUCAAAGUCUACCACAAAUUCCCACUUGUCCGCGUCUCCAGACUUUGCUUCUAAAUCGAAAUCAUAUUGCGAAGAUCACUGACAGUUUCUUUCAAUCUUUGCCUUCGCUUAGAGUUUUGAAUCUAAGUGGAAAUCAUUACCUAACUGAACUACCUGUAGGAAUUUCAAGUUUGGUUUCAUUACACCAUCUUGAUCUGUCUUAUACUCCCCUAACUGAACUUCCUGUAGGGAUUUCAAGUUUGGUUUCAUUACACCAUCUUGAUCUGUCUUCUACUGAAGUACGUGGGUUGCCGCAAGAGCUCAAGGCAUUGGUGAAUCUGAGAUAUUUGAACUUGGAGUAUACACGUAAAAUGUCUAGAAUUCCAGAGCAAUUGAUAUCAAGCUUUCCAAAGUUACAGGUGCUCAGGAUGCUGAGUUGCGGUUCUGAGAUAUUUCCAAUAGUGGAAGAAGGCAACGUUCUAUCCGAUGGUGCUGAACCAUUGAUUAAGGAAAUCCACUGUUUGGAACAAUUAAAUCUCAUCACCUUGUCCUUACGUGGUACGCGUGGUGUUGAAAACUUUUUGAAAUUCCCAAAGCUGCAGAAUAUCACUCAAGCUCUGUCCAUCGAACACUGCAACAGUCUACCGCUCAAUUUGUUGCAUCUAUCAAACAUGGAGCAUCUUGAGAAGCUACACAUCGAGGAAAGUAAUUUGGAAGACUGGAAUGUCGACUGCGCAGGCGAGGUACAAAAAAUGCGUAAACUUCACUUUGUUACAAUAUACGAAUGCUCAAAUGUGAAGGACUUUACGUGGCUUGUUUUUGUUCCAAAUCUCAAGUGGCUACGAAUAUGUUAUUGUGAUGACAUGGAAGAAAUAAUCAGUGUUGAAAAAUUGAGUGAAGUUUCGGAGAUGAUGGGAGAGCUUAACUUGUUCUCAGAACUCGAACUUCUGGUAAUAAGAAAUGCAAGUAAUUUGGAGCGCAUCUACCGCGUUCCCUUGCCCUUUCCACAGCUGAAGGUAAUUGACAUAUCGGAAUGCCCAAAGUUGAAGAAGCUCCCGCUCAAUUCCAGCAGCGCAAAGGGACGUAAAAUUGUCAUUUACGGGGAGAAAGAAUGGUGGGAAGAGCUACAAUGGGAGGAUCAAGCCACUCAAAAUGCUUUCUCUCCCUGUUUCCUACCUGAUGAAUAAUAAAGUGCAAUAAGGCGCAAAAGUGUGAAUAAAAUUUCUGCGUGUGCUUAAUGUUAGGCACUAUUAUUCAGGCUUAAAUAAUAACAAUAAAAUACUACACCGUGUCUGCUUUCUUUUACUUUUCUUGGUUCUGUUGUAAAAUUCAGUUCUAUUUGAAGGAAAUUAUUAACAUCAAAACUAAAUACUUCGUGAGCAUCUACUGACAACAUACUCCAGAUGACACCAUAACCAUAUCAUAUAAAGCAAGAAAUGUGAAAUAAAUACAAAAUGAAUCACAGGAGGAAAUCACCACACUCUGCGGUCUCUCCUGCUAAACCCUGCAGUUAGAAUGCCAUUUGUCGUGAGCACCUGAAUCCCCAAAGGACUCCCAGCUUCAAGUGGCUUUGACUUAGCUUGCUUUAGCUCCAUUGCACAUACUCACUCACAUGGAGGAAAUGAACAGAACAAGAAACCUCAUCAAGCCGAAUAUGAUAGAUAUGACAAGGCAUUACACUGUAGGAAGCUCCCGAUUUCUCUAAAAAACUUUGCAGGUUCUCCGCAAUCAAGGCGUGCUCCAUCUUUAACAGAUCACUUCUACCAUUAAGAGAAGGGAGAGAGUUCCUCUCGUGUGACAGUAAAUCCUUACUUAACACAGGAUUGGAGCCAACCAAGAAGGGAAGGCAAUUUCGUUAGAUUAAGAACCGAAUCACCAUCCAAAAUAGUAGCAUUUGAACCAGAACUCUUGUUAAAUUCUUGAAAUCUCCUGCUUUCAUCAGUCUGUAAGAGAAAUGAAGAUGAGAAUAAUAGCCAGAACCGGAUUAAAUUCAAUCUGGUCUUUUGAAGACUUCUAUAACAACUAAGAGAACCCAGUGUACCGCCUACAGAUACUGUCAGGCUUCUAUCAAAUAUCCCAAACACCAAAAACAAACCAAAUUAAGCUAACAAACCUGCAUGAAUAUCUAAAUUUCAAUGCACAUGAAACAAACUCCGUCUUCAAUCCACCAAAACUAGCAAAUUUCAAACUUUAUCCCUCAUCACUCUCUCUCUGUCAGCUGUAUGAGGCUACGAGAUCAUGUUAUAAUGUUCAUAUUGAUGCUGAAUGUUUUGCCAGCUUGUCUGAAUUCCAUAAGAGAAUGCAAUUUGCACAUUAUUGUGCCUUGCCCACCAUUAGAUUCUAAACCACAAAAUCAUUGUGUGAGUAGCUGACGUUUCGCACAUUCUUAUCCCUUAUCAUCAAUAUUCUUCUCCUCAAGCUUAGAUCAUGGAAAUUUGAGUGACAAACAUGAUAACAUGGUAACACCAUCUAAACUUUAGGGGCAUAAAGUAACAUAGAAGCAACAUGGGAUGUUUUAAAAUCUAUUAUAAUUUGCUUAGGCCCCUGAAUAAAAUUAAAACUUGAAAUGAAAUAAAGUAGCAAAAUAAAGAUUGGAGGUCGCAUGCUUGAUAUUUGAUGCUGUCAAAAUUAAUUUGCAGUGCUGAAAUUGCUGCUCCAAUAAAUUUUUCAAUGGGAUUUCUAUAUUUACAACAAAUUUUCAGUAUUGAAACAGGAUUAAAAUCAUAAAGUGUCUUUUAAACAGCAGAGGCAACAAGAUCCUACAGAAAAAGAAGGCAAAAAGUAGUUACAAGCUACAGAAACGCAAAUAUUCUACUGGCCCACUCCCACUAAAUUCGAAGCGAUUCUAAAAUCUCAGCUUGUACUACUACAUCAUUCCUUCUAUGUGGCCCAACUGUACUUCACCCAGAAAUCACAUUUCUUCAUCAGAGAUAAUUUUACUUCUAAUCAGAGAUUAUUUUUUAUAUGCAUGGCUUUACAGUAAUGAAUAAUUUUCCUUAAAUCUUUUCUAACAGACAAGAAAGCACAAAGCACAAAAAUUCAUAUAAACAACUUUUCUCGAAGCUUUUUCAUAAGAAAACCUGAACAUGAUUGCUUCUCUUAGAAGGCCCCCUAGCUUCCUGCAAGAACCUGGUGUUCCAAAAAAAAAUGAUUAUAAUUAGGCAUAAGGUCCUAAUGUUCUUGCAGGAAUUAUGAUGAAUAUCAGGGUUUCAAAAAAAAAAAAAUUAAGACAACGAUUACGGAUUUAAAGCACACAGAAUUUACACUUUUCUCCAUGUGAUUUAAAAGCACACAGAAUUCUCCUGACCUUAAUUGAAAUCCAAUAUUGUAGACUCAUUGUUGUAGCUAGAAAAUCAUAUUAAUAGAGUAAAAUUUAUAAAUAAUCAAAGAAAAGAGUUCACGCUCUUACUUCAUUACUUUUAUAAUCUUAUUAGUAUAUCAACUUACAUGUCUUCAGAAAAUACAGUUUUAAGGGGAUAUUUUUAUGGUUGUAGAUAUUUUUAUUUUUCUUCUUAAUAAUAGAUUUAAUUUUCAUAUUUCUAAUGUUAAGUUGCAGAUUUGGACUAAAUCAGAUUAAAUUUCAAAUUAGAUCACCGACCUUAUUUUAAUAGGUUCAAUUGGAUUUUGGACAUCUAAUUAAACAACUGGAAUAAUAAAUUGCAAAUGAAUGAGAUUUAUAUGUGAUUUUAAAAUAAAAUUUGAACUCAAAUCUAUGUAUUCAAUUAAUCCAACAGGACAAAUUUAUAAUUUCCACCAACUAAAUAAAAUAUGUUAUCAGAAACUUUUGGAUCAAGUCGGGGCAGUGUAUUACUUCGUGGGUCUGCUACUACUUAUAGUCCAUUCUCAUUUCAACUUUCACAUCUUUUAUAUUAUGUACAAAUUGGAUUAUAUUCUAAAAAAGUGUUUCUAAUUGUUUAACGUUUUAUUUCUGGGUAUAUUUAGAGAUUAAAAAAUAUGGGAAACAUAAUCAAUUUUAUCAAAUAAAAAGGAGUAUUGUUCAUUUUUUCAUAAACAAUGUGUUAAAAUACUUUUGGUUUUUAAGAAGUAACAAUUUUUAUUUUCAUAAAAUAGCAUUCAAAAUUAUAUUAAAUAAAAUUAAAGAUUAACAAAACUGACAUCUGAAUUUCGUGUAAAUUAUAAUAAGUUUGUCUCCAGCAUGAGUAACAUUAAAGCUUGGCUAGCAUCAUCAUAUUUUAUCUCCAGCAUCAAAAUUCUGAUAACAUCAACAUCAUAAUUCCAAGGUUGUCAAACUAAUCAUCUCAAAAUGUCAUUAUACUUAUAGCGUGCUGGCAUUAUCUUUACUUUCUGCAUCAAAAUUCUUUUAUUUAAUACACUUUUAUUUCAUACAAUUUUUUAUCAAAUUAAGAUCCUUUGUGAUCUAAACUCUCUUGAACUUUUAAAAAUCUUAUGCCACCUCUUCUUUAGUAAUAGUAAUAGUAAUAAUAUGAUUAUGAUUUAAUUAUUUUAUUUUUUAAUUUAUCAAACACCAAUCACUUAAAUUUAACUCAAGAAAAAAUUAGAACAUCAAAGAAUUUUAAUUGCUUCUUAUUAAGUACUAGAAUUAACUUCUCCCAAUGAUAAUUUAUUAAGCAGACCAUAAUGAUCAUCUUACGCUAAAGAACCAACCCAUCUUCAAAACACAAGAAUUUAGUACAAAUAAUUAUCCCAAUAAAGUUUAACGAAAAAGCAAAGAGAUAUUUUUAUUAUUUCUUUUACUUUCCUAGUGGCUCUGCUACUACCUAUAGGCUAUAGUCCAUUCUUAUUCAACAUUCAGAUCUUUUAUAUUAUAUGCAAAUUAAAAUAUAUUCUAAAAAGUGUAUCCAACUGGUUAACAUAUUAUUUCUAGAUAAUAAUCAAUUUUAUCAAAUAAAAAAGAGUUUUUGGUCAUUCAUUUGGCUCCGUUGCCACUUGUACGUUACAAAAGCUUUUGUCUAUGCUGACUCAGUUACUGUAAAAUGUCGUUCAGCCCCUUAUACUCUAUGUUAUUUAUAAUUUAUUUAUAAGAAUUAUGAAAAUUUCUACUUACCUACACUAUCAAAAUUCAAUUUAUCUCCUCACAAUCUUUUUCAUUUACUAUUUUUUUCUAAGUAUUAAAAGAGUUCUAUUUACAACCACGACAUAUUAAUCAUCAUAACACACAAAUAUUAAUAAAAAGAUAAAAAUAUCCUUAAAUUAAUACUAAAAAUGCUUUCCUCUCUUCUUUAUAAUAUCAUAUUAUAAUAAUUAAUACUUUCAUGAUAAAAGAAUUAAAAAAAUAAAAAUAAAUUCCCUUUGAAUCCAUCCCUCUCUAAUAUCAUUUUCUCUUCAUUAGGAACAUUUAUCGACAAUUGAAGCCACCAUCAGACUCAUCACACAGAGAGAGUGAGAGAGGGGAAGAAGAAACAGAGAAAAAAUAUAUGAGACAUUUACAAUUUUAUAGUGUGUUUAUUCAACGGGAUUUAUAUAUAGUUGCUAAGGGGUUUCAUCAGACACAAGGAGUUGAUUACACUGAAACUUUUAGUCUAGUAGUUAAGGCUUCAACAGUCAAAGUUAUUCUUAGCCUAACAGUACUUAACAAGUGAAUAAGCAGACAAGUGGAUGUUAAUAAUGUCUUCCCCUAGCAGUACUUAACAAAUGAAUAAUCAGACAAGUGGAUGUUAACAAUGCCUUCCUUAAUGGCAUUUCAGUUGAAGAAGUUUACAUGGCACAACCUGAGGGGUUUGUGGAUCCUACUAAACCCCAACACAUCUGCAAAUUAAAAAGGACUAUAUAUGGCUUGAAGCAAGCUCCCAGGCUUGGUUUGACAAAUUCAAAGCUGCAAUGAUUACUCAAUGGCAUUUUCAACACUCAAAAUCAGAUAAGUCUCUCUUCUAUAAAUGGAUCAAUGGUCAUGUAAUUCUAGUUCUGGUUUAUGUUGAUGAUAUCAUACUCACUGGUUCAAAUUCUUACUUAAUUCAGCCAGUCAUUCAAGACAUGCAUCACACCUUUGCUUUAAAAGACUUGGGAGCUCUUAACUAUUCUCUAAGAAUUGAAGUGGUUAAAUUAGCAAAUGGCAUUUAUCUGUCUCAAGCAAAAUAUAUUGCUAAUAUAUUGGCAAACAUGAUAUGGUUCACUGCAGUCCAUUACAUAUUCCUAUGUCUACCAGUCACUACCUCACAAAAGAUUCAAGUGACAUUAUUGCAAAUGUGUCUCAGUACAGAAGUAUCUUAGGUGCAUUGCAAUAUGUUACUCUUACAAGGCUUGACAUAACAUAUAUAGUUAAUAAACUAAGUUAGUUUUUAUUUAGUCCUCGAACACAACAUUGGGAGGCUCGCAAAAGGUUGCUAAGGUACUUAAAAAGAAUUUUACAUCUUCGAUUGCAUUAUUACACAAAUGGAGCUAUGCAGAUACAUUAUUUCAUAGAUUCUAAUUGGGCAUGUGAUAGGGAUGACAGGAAAUCACUUGCUAGUUUUGCAGUCUAUCUAGGUCCCAAUUUAGUCUCAUGGUCAUCCAAGAAACAAGCAGUGGUAUCAAGGUCAAGUAUAGAAGCAGAAUAUAGAGCAUUAGCUCAUGCUACUUCAGAGGUCAUGUGGAUACAAUCUCUUCUUAGUGAGUUGCAAAUUAAACUUAGCACCACUCCCAUAAUAUGGUGUGAUAAUCAAGAAGCUAUUGCCUUAGCAUACAAUCCAUUUUAUUAUGCCAAAACCAAACAUGUUGAGCUAGAUAUACACUUCAUUCGAGACAAAGUUGUAGCUAAGAGCAUUGAGGUUAGUUAUGUGCCCAGUGAAGGUCAACCAACUGAUGUAUUAACCAAAGCUCUCACUUUUAAGCAGUUUCAUUGCUUGUGAAGCAAGCUGAAUGUCUAUCCUGGACAUUUUAGCUUGAGGAGGGAUGUUAGUGAUAUUGAAUUUCAAGCAAAGCAGAGCACAAAAUCAUUAUAUGACUGACCACAACUGAUUCACUCAUUAAGCUAACUUGGCAAGUUAGUUAUACAGCUCACCUCACAUGUAUCAAAUUUCGCGUGUGUAUAACAGAUUGUAUGAAUCAUUUAGCUUGCUAUAUAAAUAUGUAAUGUGUACUCAGUUUUCAAUUAGUUAAUUACAAAGGAAUCUUAUAUUUGCUUCUAUACAAAUUCUCUUUACUUUUCUUUCAUUUUCUUGCCAAACAACACUUUCUUUAGAAUUCUUUCAUGAAAGGCAAUGAGACAAAAAUGUAAAGAAGAAGAAAUUGAAGAUAGGGUAGGGCUAUUGGCUCUCUAAAAUUUAUUUUGGACAUUGAUGUGAUCUUUAAAAAAAAAUUACAUAAUUUUAUUCUUAGGUUAUGUUUAUCUCUUUGAGUUGUUAUCAUAGUUCAUUUUGAUUAAAUAAAAGUAGUUGUUGUAUUAACAUAAUUCUAAUGAACAUAGGUUUUAUUGUGCUUUUAAUCUUUAGGUCCAACUUCUGUAAGAUAGUAUUUAAACCAGCAUCAAUGUCAAUAAUAGCAGGCUGAAAUGUUUCUUUUGGAGACUGAAUAGUUGUAUUGGGAGAUAUGUCCCUCAAAGUACCAAAAACAUAUUUAUUAAAGCUUAGUUUCCUUGAAUUUGCCCAUUUAUCACUUGUUCUUUUUAUUUUGUUUGAUUUCCUGUUGUAAUAAUUUGUGUCUGUAAGACUAUAACAGACACUCACAUUUUAAUAGUUCUUUAUAUCACUAAAUUAACCUUAAUGUAAAAUUAACCGUAAUGUAAUUUACUAUUAAGGACAAUUUAAUAAAAUAUAGUUCAAUAAAUUUUUAUCCAACAUCUUAUUUUAUCUACAAUAAACUAGAUAAACAAUGAAGAAAUGAAUAAAAGUUCACGUGAAAACGAUGUCUAUACUUAUGGGCUAAACCUUUUUUUUUCAGUUUUUUUGUUAAUAGAAUUGUUAGGAAAACAUCAUGUAACACGUUCCAUCUUUUGUAACAAAAGGAAUUAAAAACAGAGGUGGAGGAAGAACAAUAAAUUGCACCACUACAACAUAUGAAAAACGAAAGAAAUCAAAGGAUAAAAUCUGUUUCAAAUUUGUUUUCUGAUCUUCACUCAAUCUAAUCUGCAUGCUUUCAUGGAUUUGAAAAACAAAAUUGAAUUGCGACAUUAAAGAGAAGAACAAACAUAUGUCAAACCAUAUUAUGAAAGCAAAAUAAAAGUUGAUAAAAAAUGAAAAAAAGUUCAAACAUUUUGUUUGUGAUGAUGAAUAUUUUAUUAGAUGUAAAGAGGAAAUAAGAUAAUUAAAGAAAUGGGUAAUGAGAACAAUAAAGGAAGUCGAAAAAUAUUUCAAAUACAAAUUAAUAUUUUGAAAUUAUUAAUUGAGUGUUCAAAAUAAAUUUUAGAAUGUAAGAAGUGCAUCGCUGCCCAUUUCUUUGAUGAACCCAGUAGAAACAGCUUUAAAAUUAUAGAAACUGUAAAACGCUGUAAAAGUGAAAACUUUAAAAAGCUUGCUCUAGUAUUUAAACCUUUAAUAGUGCAAAGUCACAAGUCUUGCAGCUAGUUGAUAUAUCCCCAAGCUAAAAACAUGUGUUGUAUACUCAUUUUUUAUAGUGAUACUAGAACUAUUAUUAUCUUAUGUCUAUGUACGUAUGUUUACAAUUUAUUUCAUAAAUUUACUGAGACAAGUGCCGAAAUUUAUGGCGAAGUACGUCCAAUCUAUUGUCACUAAGGCCCUAUUUGGUAUUUAGAUAAUGUAGUUUUUGUGAAAAAAAAUAAUGUAAUUAAGAAAUAAAAAUUAAUAAUAUAUAGUAAUAUGACUUGUAAAUAAUAAUUUGAAAAAAAUAAUAAAGAAUUAUAAGUUUUUUCAAAAUAAAAGUGGUGGAUCAAAUUAAUUUAGCUUUCAAGUCAUAGCAAGUAGUGUUUAUCAAAUAUAAAAAGUUAUAAUUAUCCAAUCUCAAUCAGAACCUGAGCAUUUUUAGCAAAAACAAUACUUUUAUUCUAUAUUUUACAAAUAUCUUCACCAUUAUUCAGAGCACCAACCCUUAACUUUUUUCGAUUAUGUUUGGUAUAACUUUUUAAGCAGAACUUUUACUAAAAAAAAUAAUUGUUUGAUUGUCAAUGAGAUUUUUUAUUAAAAUUUCUAGAAUUACUUUAAUAGGCAAAUUUCUUAAAGUUAUGUUAUGAAAUGAAUAAAAUAAAAUUGUGAAAUAUAUAAAGCAUAUUUUAGACAAUAUAAUAUUUUUAAAAAAUUUUAACCUCUACUCCACAAAAUUUAAAAUUUAAACUUUUAUUAGUACAAAUAAAAUAAUUUAUUUAAUUUUUUAAAAAUUUUACUCAAAUUAUAAUUAAAUAAUAUUAAGUCUUAAAAAAAAGUUAUAAGAUUAAAUAAAUAUAUUUGACUGAACAUACACUAACUUGAACUCUUGAAAAAUAAAUAUUUUGCGCCACAUAAGUAGGGUCCAAUUAUGUUGCAACUGAUGUAUUAUACCAGAGUUCCUCUUUUUUUCCCCGUAUUAUUGGAUAAUUGAUGCAAAUUAAGCAAAGUUGUUGGGUGCUUCUCGUUCAAUCUAGCAGUUGAAAUUAAUUAUUGGAUAAUUGAUGCAGCGACUAGCAACCGUUGCAGCCGGUUGUAUAUUAAUUUAAUAGCAGUUCAGCGAGCGUGGGUUUCGAAAAUUUGUUAGUGCUGAUUAGAGUCUCACUGAUUUCAUCUGAAAAUUGAUCUCGAGACAUCAAUUAAGACAUAAAAUUAGAAUUAGGGGAUCGCAGUUUUUUUGGGAAUUAAAAUUUCCCUAUGAUUCAUACAUGAAUAUGGCCUCUCACUUGUAGGGAAUUGACGGUGAAAUUAUAAUCGUCACAGCAGAAUGCAAUCAAAAGUUACGGUGCUAAAAGUUUAGGCAUAUAUCAAAUUAGAGUGAAUCUCGCAUCACUUUGAUUUGGUCUUAUGCCGAUCGAAUCACCUGAUGCAGUAUGUAAUUCCUUAUUAAAACUUGCAAUUUUUUAUUUUGAAAAGAUUUAAAAUUUGUAAUUUCAUUACAGAAAUGAGGCGGGGGCUCACAAACAGAAAGCUAGCGAUUUAAAGAGCCACAGUCAAGCUUUAGAAGCCGAUGGUAACAUAGUUAGAACAAUAGAAUCUGAUAGCGUUAGGGAUUCAUAAGCUAUUUGUAAGUAUUUGUACUCCCUGACUAAAUAAUUUGGGAAUAUAAGGAUGCAAUAAGAGUUGAGUGGUCUUUAUUCCAAUAGCAUUAUUUUUUUCGAGCUUCAUCCGUGCUCUAUUCAAUCUUUAUGUGCCGCUUGUGUUAUGUUCCUGCAUAUCUAAUUACCUUUAGAUGCUAGUUGAUAUUUGACAAUUUUGCAGGUUAAGGAUAUUAGAUGGGAUGCAGAGCUUGGCAGUCAGAACAUGGAAUCACGGUUGGUUGAAUACUUUGUAGAUGAGUUUAAUAAACAAGUUGGUAAUUGGGUGAAGUGAGGAAGUCUCCCAAGGCCAUGGCUGAACUGAAGAAGCAAGUUAAAUAUACAAGAGCAAUUCUUUGUGCGAACACAAUGGAACCAAUAUCAGUUAUAUCUUUCCACGAUGAUAGGGACUUCAGAUAAGUGGAGUUAAAGUUCAGAUUUUACUGUUUGAGGUGCGUUUGAAGUUUAUUAACAAAAUUAAUGUGUUCUUUAAAUGAGUGAGGAACUGUAGAACAUGACAAGUAGAGUUUAUUGUGUGAGGGAUGCAUAUUCUCUUACAAGUGCUUUGUUCUUUAAUAUAGCACUAUAAGACAUCUUCUGAUGAAAAAUAGAGUCAAUAAAAUUACUCCAGACUGACUGGGCCGUUACGUUUUGGAUUCCAAUUCUUGCAUGAGAUUUCUUUUUCCUUUUUUUCUUUUUUCAAAUUUACUAGUGGUACUUUCAUUUGGUAAACUAUUCUAUACAUACAUAUAUAUAUAUAUAUAUAUAUAUAUAUAUAUACUCUAAUCAAUUAUAUUGGCUUAUUCUCCUUUUAUGUUGAUUCACGCUGCUGGUAUAGAUAAAAUUUAUUUAUUAGUUUUGGUGAAAAAUUUGUUUUGUUGCACACGGAUAGUAAACCCAAAUACAUUCAUAUGUGUUAGAGCAGCUCAUUAUGCUGAACAGAAGAAGGUGAAGACUAAGAUGAAGAAAAUACAGAGCAAGUUACAGGGCAAGUGUGUCAGCAGUGCCAGCUCAGCUAACAGCUCAGCAGAUUAGUUAAAGAUGGUUGUAAGCAUGAUGUGCAUUGUACUGAAGUUAGUUAGCUUUGAUUACAGUUAGUCUUUGGAUUAGUUAAAUGAAGUUACCGUGAUUGCAUUGUAUAUAAACAUGUGAUGCUUUGUAAAAAGGUUAAGCAAAAUAAAAAUCAAAGUUUGUUAAGGAAAUAUCUCCAGAAUUAUCAAUUCAUUUUCUUAGUAACCAAACAACUUUAUUUUCAUUUUCUUUCAUGGUAUCAGAGCCACUCUAAUGGCUAGUUCCAGUAGCACAACAUCAAAUCCAAAUCAAAUGAAUAUAAAUCAAUCAUCACAUAUCUCCUUUUCGUUCAGCACUCCAGUCAAAUUGGAUCGAUCAAAUUUCAUGAUUUGGCGAAAGCAAGUUCUUACUACAAUAAGAGGAAAUCGUCUUGAAGAUUUUAUUUCUGGAAAUCAAAUCAUACCAGAACAAUACAUUUCUAAUACAGUAGCUGAUGGAUCAGUACAGAGAAUCACGAAUCCAGCUUACAUCAACUGGCGAGCUCAGGAUCAAACUUUGCUUGGCUGGAUUUUGUCAUCCAUAAGUGAAGGUAUCUUAAAUACUGUUCUUAAUUGCGAAAAUUCAUUUGAAGCAUGGAGAUCAAUUGAAAAACAAUUUGGAGUACAAUCUGAGGCUAGAGUUAUGCAAUUGAGGUAUGAAAUGAAUGUCCUUAGAAAAGAGAAUAUGUCUAUUGAGGAGUACUGUUUAAAAGUAAAAGUUGUUGCUGAUAAGCUUGCUUGUGCUGGUAGCCCUGUGUCUGAGAAAGAUCUGCUAAUGCAAAUUUUGAAUGGCCUAGGACCUGGAUUUCUAGAUCUUGCUUCAAUAAUUACUGCUAAUAGAAUGUCGUAUGAUGAUGCUUAUGCAUUACUCUUAACACAUGAGGCAAGAAUGGAACAAAAUCAUAAUACUAAAGAUCUUUUUAGUGCAAACUAUGGGAUGAUGAAUGCUAACUACUCUCAGUUUAGAGGAAAUAAUAAGAGAGGUGGUUAUAGUGGAUAUCAAGGGCAAUUUAAUGCUGGAAAUAGGAAUCAAAAUGGAGGAAGAGGAAUGUUUUUCAAUUCAUUCUCAAGAGGUUUUCCAGCUGGUGGAUAUACUGGUAAUGCUGGUGGCAGAGGACAGCAAAUGAAUGCAUAUGCUUAUAAACCUGUGCUUAACAACAGGCAUAAUUUCAAUAUGAAUCAUGGCUCAACUUCAAUGUCCAAUGGAAAUGGAUCUGAUGAUAAUGUGCUUAUCUGUCAAAUCUGUCAUAAAGCUGGACAUGCAGCUGAUGUUUGUUGGCACAGACACUUUGAUGGCUAUGCUCCUCAACCCAGACAAUUUGGAAGGGGCAGAGGGCAUAAGUCUGCUUAUAUGGCUAACUUUGAUCCACAAAUUGGCUUUACUUCACAAUUUGAAGAUUCAUUUGCUACAGAAUAUCCUGGUUAUCAUGGGUACCAUCCACCUGAUAUGAAUGCAUCAGUUGCAUCAGUAAGUCAUCACUCAUCUGAUAUGCAUUCUGUACCUGGAGCAGCUUAUAUUGCAAAUUUUGAAGGACCAGCUGAUGAAGGGUGGUAUCUUGAUAGUGGAGCUACGCAUCACAUCACUAACAACAUGGCCAAUAUGCAUAUCAGAGAUCAAUUCACUGGAGCAGAUCAGCUCAUUAUUGGAAAUGGACAAGGUUUGCCCAUAACUCAUGUUGGUGAUGCAUCCUUUCUCUUUAAAAGUUCCAAUUCUACACACAAACACUCACCUAUAGUACUUAAAGAUAUUCUGUUGGUGCCUUCCAUUACCAAAAAUUUGUUAAGUAUCUCGAAGCUUACCACUGAUAACAACUUGUCUGUUGAAUUUCUUGGAAAUGUUUGUUUUGUGAAGGAUUCUCUGAGGGGACAGGUACUUCUGCAGGGUCUUGCUGAGAAAGGGUUAUACAGGCUGUUAUUGAAAUCAUCAUCAUCCUCUCAGUUAUCAUCAUCUUUUCUUUCUCACAUGUGUUCCAAUAAACCUUUGUCUAUGCUUUCUUGUUGUUGUUUCAAUUCUGUUCCUUCUGGAGUUGUUACAGAAUCUCAGAAAUCAUGUAAUCAAACUGAUGAUUCAUCUUGUAAAACUUCAGUUAAUAAAGCUAUUUUGCUUCAUAGAAAGUUUGGUCAUCCCAAUCAUCAAAUAUUAACUCAUAUACUCAAAACAGCAAAAUCUAUUCAUUUACCUGCAUAUCAAAAGCAACAAAUGCAUCAGUACAUCUGUGAGGCCUGUCAAAUGGGCAAAACACAUAAACUUCAUUUUCCAAUUACUGAAACCAAAACCUCCAAAACUCUAGAACUUAUACACACUGAUUUAUGGGGUCCUUCUCCCAUUAUUUCUAGAGAUGGUUAUCAGUAUUAUAUAAGUUUUGUAGAUGACUACAGCAGGUAUACAUGGAUUUAUCCUUUGAAGCUAAAGUCUGAGGCAUUAGAAGUCUUUAAGCUCUUUAAACUGCAGGUUGAAAAUCAGUUUAGCACAACCAUUAAGAUGAUGCAAUCUGAUUGGGGGGGAGAGUAUAGACCAUUCACUGAGUUUUUAAGCCAAUUUGGUAUCAUCUUUAGACAUCCUUGUCCUUACACUCAUCAUCAAAAUGGGUUAGUUGAAAGGAAGCAUAGACAUAUUGUUGAAUUGGGUCUGACUCUCUUAGCUCAAGCUCAACUUCCCUUUAAGUUCUGGUGGGAUGCAUUUCAUACUGCUGUAUAUCACAUCAACAGACUUCCAUCUCCUGUUUUGCACCUUUUAACCCCAUAUGAAAAGACAUUCAAACACAAACCUGAUUAUGAUUUUCUCAGAUGUUUUGGGUGUUCUUGUUAUCCUUACUUGAGAGAUUACAAUAAACAUAAAUUUGCCUACCAUUCUAGUAAGUGCAUAUUCAUUGGUUACAGUCCUUCACAUAAGGGCUACAAAUGUUUACACCCUUCAGGUCGAGUCUAUGUGGCAAGACAUGUUACCUUUGAUGAAUCAGUUUUUCCUUAUGCCACUGAGUUUGUUUUUCAUAGUCAUGCUAAAACUGAUUCUCAAAUUUCUCAUUCCCAUACACCACAGCAAAUCCAUCAUAUCUCUUCUUUGCCUGUCAAUAACAGCACUGGUAAUCUGAACUCUGUAAGAUCUGGAAGCAGCAGUUCAAGUCACUCAGAUCAUCUAGAACAGACAGCAACUGAUCAGAAUUCACAACAAGCUACCAUAAAUGACAGGUCACCUUUUCAUACAUGUCCAACAAUUGUUGAAUCUAUACAAAAUAUUCCAGAACCUCCACAUCACUCUUUGCCUAUACAAAGUCACCAUCCUAGCAACACUUCUUUCUAUCCAUAUACACAACCAAAUACACAUCAGAUGAUAACCAGAAGUAAAGCAGGGAUUUUCAAACCCAAAAUUUAUACUGCUGUGCUUACUCACAAGGAACCAGAUACUGUGCAAGAAGCAUUAAAUGAUUCAAAGUGGCUACAAGCUAUGAGGGAGGAAUAUGAUGCCUUGAUUAAGAAUAAUACAUGGACAUUGGUUCCAAGACAAGCUGAUCAGCAUGUGGUUGGAAAUAAAUGGGUGUAUAGAAUCAAAUAUAAUACAGAUGGAAGUGUAGCUACGUAUAAAGCUAGACUUGUUGCAAAGGGUUUUCAGCAAGUGGCAGGGAUUAACUAUUUUGAGACAUUUAGCCCAGUUGUGAAGUCAGCUACAGUUAGAGUAAUACUUAGCUUGGCAGUGAUGAAUCAGUGGAGAAUAAGGCAAGUGGACGUCAAUAAUGCCUUUUUGAAUGGAGAGCUAACAGAAGAAGUUUUCAUGUCUCAACCUGAUGGCUUUAUUGAUGCUCAGAGAUCUGAUUUUGUAUGCAAAUUACACAAGUCUCUGUAUGGGCUCAAGCAAGCUCCUAGAGCCUGGUAUGACAAGCUUAAAGGAUGCUUAAUAAGCUGGGGUUUCACUACUACUAGUUCUGACACCUCAUUGUUUGUUAGGAAGAUCAAGACAUCUAUGAUCAUAGUUCUUAUAUAUGUUGAUGACAUACUGAUCACAGGUCCAAAUACUGAGGAGCUGGAAGGUUUCAUAACUGAAUUCAGCAAAACUUUUGCUCUAAAGGAUCUGGGAGUGUUAUCUUAUUUCCUUGGAAUUGAGGUAUUAUAUGAUGCAGAUUGUAUGUACUUGUCACAGAGAAAGUAUAUCAGAGAUUUGUUAUCGAAGGUAGAAAUGACUGAAUGUAAGGGCAUUGAUACACCCAUGAGUACUGGCUCUAAACUGCAAAAGAUAGUUCAGGGGGAACUUGGAUACUAUCUUGAAGAUCCAACUCAUUAUAGGAGCAUAGUUGGAGGAAUGCAGUACCUGAUACUUACCAGACCUGAGAUUGCGUUUGCUGUAAACAAGCUCAGUCAGUAUGUAGCUGCACCAACACUACAACAUCUAAUGGCAUGCAAGAGAGUUCUAAGAUAUCUAAAGGCAACUCAAGAUUAUGGUUUAAAAUUUUUCAGAGAAGGAAGCUUAACACUCACUAGUUUUACUGAUGCAGAUUGGGCAUGUGACUUAGAUGAUAGGAAAUCAGUUGGUGCUUAUUGCAUUUAUUUAGGCAAUAAUUUGAUAUCCUGGUCUUCUAAGAAACAAUCAGUGAUAACCAGAUCAAGUGCCGAGAGUGAGUAUAGAGCUUUGGCAUCAGUGAGUGCAGAGCUGACAUGGUUACAAUCCUUAUUUUCUGAGUUGGGAUUAAGUUGCAUAGAAAAGCCAAUCAUAUGGUGUGACAACAUUAGUGCCACUGAACUAGCAAAGAAUCCUGUGUAUCAUUCAAGAACAAAGCAUAUCGAAAUUGAUAUGCACUUCAUUAGGAAUAAGGUUCUUGCUGGUGAGUUGAUUAUUCACUAUGUACCAAGUGAAGAACAGAUUGCAGACAUAAUGACCAAGCCUCUUUCAUUUGUAAGGUUUAACUACUUGAGGUCCAAACUCAAUGUCCAUCUUUGUCCUCUGAGUUUGAGGGGGGCUGUUAGAGCAACUCAUUAUGCUGAACAGAAGAAGGUGAAGACUAAGAUGAAGAAAAUACAGAGCAAGUUACAAGGCAAGUGUGUCAGCAGUGCCAGCUCAGCUAACAGCUCAGCAGAUUAGUUAAAGAUGGUUGUAAGCAUGAUGUGCAUUGUACUGAAGUUAGUUAGCUUUGAUUACAGUUAGUCUUUGGAUUAGUUAAAUGAAGUUACCGUGAUUGCAUACAGGUGAUGCUUUGUAAAAAGGUUAAGCAAAAUAAAAAUCAAAGUUUGUUAAGGAAGUAUCUCCAGAAUUAUCAAUUCAUUUUCUUAGUAACCAAACAACUUUAUUUUCAUUUUCUUUCAAUAUGGAUAUCUGGGGUUUGUUUUGUCUUUUAGGAGCAGCAUUACCUGUCGAAAGUUCAAAGAGCUCACUGAACUUAAGCAUUCGGGGUUGAAAAUGGACGAGAUAUAUGCAGUGGAGUUCAUUGGAGGAGCUACUAUAGUGCCAAAGUUGCAGGUUUGCAAUAUCCGCUUUGUUUUGGUAGUUAGCCCGAGUAUUAAAUUCUUGAGGCGUGUAAGGUAGUGGACUUUAGCCAAUUCAAGAGUAGAAUAUAAUAUGUUUACUUGUUUUGAUCUUAAUCUUUAAUCACUUACCCUGAAUAAGAAAUAAUUUUUUAUAUUUGCUCUGCUAUGAUGUUAUUCGGUGUUAAUAGCUUCGUUUUAUUGCUCUUUUCCGCACAAAUUCUUGAUCUCAAAAGAACUUUUAUUUUGAAUAUUCUGCGUAAGGACAAUCUGAUUUAAUACCAUCAGUGAUUUUUCAUUUUUUCUCUUUAGUUUUAAUAUGUUUGAUAACUGUAUGGUUAAGCAAUCUAUGCAAUUUUAUCUUGUCGUAUGUUUGAGCUCAUUUUUUGUUGCACUUCUGAAUAUUUGGUAUUAAUUAUGUGAUAUCGGACAAUACUAUUAACUUGUUAAUUGCUUAAAUCUAAUAUCUUGUCAAAGUCACUAAUAGCAUUUCAUCAUGCAAUGAGUUAAACAUGGAACAAAUGAUGACAUGCGGUUGUGGAAUGUGUUAGAUCUCUGGGAUUCUAUGUCCUUAUGCUUGCAGGGCAACACAAUACAUUUGUUAAAACAUUGAAGACUGUGAUGUCCGCAGAAAAUUAUACGUCAACUUAUGCACCAGGCAUGAUGAAAUUAGCCAAAGACAGUGCUUGGAAGUGGCAAGCGACAAUUUGCUUCUACCAAUGACUUCAGAUCUUAAACCUGUUUCAAGCAAGGCCAGCAAUGACAUUAUGUUCAAAACAGUUUAGCCAGACACACUUGUUCACACCCCUCUACUACAUAUAACCUAGAGGUACAUUUUUUCUUUACAUUCUUUCUAUACGAUUGGGAUUAGGCUUAUCCAGUUCAAUACAUUAUUUCACAAAACUUAUACCAACUUAUUCCUAAUUAUAGUGGACACAAUUAACUUACUUUGGCAAUUGUUUCGAAGAGGUUGACAUCAACUACCAGUGAUGACAAUCUCUUGUAAUGUUUUGGUGCUAUCUACUAAAUAUUACUACUACAUAAUAUUGACAAUUCAUCUAUGUGCAGGCCCGUGAUAACCAUUUAGAUCGACCAGAUAAAGGACUUGGACAUCAACAAUUUGCCCAGAAACCAAUAAGAUAUUGUAAUCAUAAGCAAUCACCCAUCUCUUUGGAUGGUGCUCUAUUGUGAUUCUUUCCUCUAUGACUGUUAAAUAAGCAAUGUAUUGCACUUUUGUUAUGCAAAAGUAUGGCGACCAUGUAUCAACCAGUGCAUCUAUUUUAUACACUAAUUAUGACUUACUAGAAAUUUUAUUACAUUAAUCAUUUUUAGAUAGCUACUCAUCGCAAACGAAAUAAACUGUUCAGGGACACUUGACCCAACAUGCUUGUGACCGACCUUAGAAUAAUUUUUUGUCACUUAAUAUAGACAACUUCUACGAGGUUAAUAUUUCUUCAAAUUUUAACAAAAUCAUUGGCCACAUGAAAACAUACACAUGUUUCCGUUGGCAUGUUAAGUAGACGGGAACAACAUGCGGGGUAUGUACGCCAUUACCUUAAACGAAGCAAAAUUAUCUUGUGUUUAUCAAAGUUUGAAACUAAUUCUGUGCUUACAAAGAAUGUAUGAAUAACGCAUUAUACUCAUACACCAAAUUUUAAUAUGAUGGAAUCAAGUAAUUCUGUCUUAAUCAAAGUUUUUAGACUUACAAGAUGAUGGUCAAGUUUAUAUAAAAGCAAAUAACACUGAAAUCUAAUCAUCCUAUACAAACAAAUAUGAUUUAUUCAAUUAUAGCAAACAAUUGUUUUAUCGGAGUUAAUUACAUUAUUGCUAAACUUGUAUAAGUUUUCCUGUUUCAAACAUAUCUACUUAAUUACAUUAUUCAUCGACAAUGUUACUUUGCCAGUGGAAGUUUCAUUUUUUCAUACCUUAAUCACUAUUUAAUGCUUCGUUUUCCAAUAGUUCUAAUUCUUCAAAUUUUGGUUUUAUUCUUCCAUAAUUAUAAAUUGAUACUGAUUCGCAUGACUCAAAUUAAAGUGGUUAAUUACUCUAAAGUAUAAAUCUAGCAGUCAAUAAUUACAUAAAAAUAAUUGCAAAAAAAAAGUUAAUAAGGAAUAGUAUAAAUUUAAAAACUGCCAAAGUUACGAGAUAUAUGCUUGAUAUUUAAAUCAUGGCCAUAAUACUUUCUCACAUUAUAUAUAUAUAUAUAUAUAUAUAAUGUGAUUCAGUUCUUUAAUUAACCACUCUAUGAAUAAAUAUGAGAAUUAAGUACAUAUUAUGCCACAACCUUAUUGAAGUGUUCCCACUACAAUAUUAGUAGUCAACAUUAGGUCUAAACACCCACAUAAAUCCAAGGGAUCUAGAUCUACAAAUAUUAACCACUCUAUGAAUAAACAUGGGGAUGAAGUACAUAAUUGCCACGACCAUAUUGGAAUGUUUCCACUACCAUAUUCGUGUGUCAACGUUGCGUCUAAACAUUUAUAUACAUCCAAGCAAAUUUAUAUUUGUAAAUAAAUAUAAAAUAUGGAAUGAAAAUAAUCGGUAGAAAAUAUAAAUUACAAACAAUAAACUUAAAAUACAUUUGAGAAAGUAAUUAAAUCCACAAUUUAGAUCCUUGAAUUUCACACUCAUCACCUUAGCUUAAAACAUUAGCCACUCAUAUUAAUAAAAAAAACACUCAUUUUGUUUUAUAAAUUUGUAAAAGUAUAAUACAAGAAAAAUUAAAAUAAAGAAGAGAAAAAAAAAAUCUCUUCUUAUUAACUACACUUCUUCAUAAAAUUCACUCUAAAUUUCUCUAGGAAACUCACCUCUAAAAUUCUACACACCGAAUUAUCAAAUCUCUUGCCUUUAUAUAAAGGUAAAUUCUAGGUUGAUCAAGUGUGGGUAUUUACAUGAUAUUUUUGGUGAACUUGCAACCACAACCUUUAAAUGACCUUUGAUAAUACAAAUACAAUCCAAGGGGUCCAAAAUUGCAAGUAUUGUCAUGCAUAAUAAAACGGUUCAUUCAACAUAAUCAAUGGCUAUAAAGAAGUCAAAUCGGGAUCCUCCAUUGGAUUUUUUUUUCUUAAUUAUUCAAGGUGGUUGAAUCACUAUAUUGAUAAGUAUUAAAUUUAGUAUAAAGAGGUGCAUGUGAGCUCAGACACACGACACAUAUCAACUUUUCAGAAUUAAUGUUAGAUAAAACGGCUACCAAUAUUUUUGUGAAAAUUAAAAUUAAAAUUUUUACUUUUAUUUAAUGUAUACUUUCUAGUAUUAAUCAUUAAUGAACAAUUUUUUAUUUCAUCGCCGUCUAGAUUGCUUUUAUCUUAUACAAAUUUAUUUAAAACCUUUAAAUAGUUUCUAACCACUAUAUAAUUUUAUCUGUCGUCCUUAAUCUUGUUAUCCACAACUGACCAACAUAUUGUUACCUACCAUUAUAGUUGUGUAAUUCACCUUUUGUUAACUGACUUCACUAAUAUAUUUUAAAAGAAACGUGGCCAUCUGUUGCUCGUUGGAUCACUUGCUUUUAAAUCCAAUAAUUCCGUGAGAUAAAGACAAAACGCUUGCUAUAGCGCUACAGUUACAACAUAGACGUGGCCGUAGAGGCGAGAAAAAAAAUCUAUUUGUUUAGUCACUGUACACUUUUUCAUUCAUUUUGUCCGCUUCCAAAUCCUCGGGAGAAACAACACAAAUAAAAAAAAGAUUUUAAGAAAUUUGAUGCCUUGUUCGCCGAAUCUCUCCACUUUUAAAUAGUGUCGUGAUCCUGAUCGUGUGAUCUGGUAAUGGUAUGACAAUUACUUUGGAGAAAACACCGGCCCACUUUUAAUAAAAUAAAUUUUAUACCAAACGAAUCAUAAGGCAAAAACACUGCACUUACCUAUCCAUACUGAUUAAACUCCCUCACCAUCACAUUUUAAUAAUGACAAUUGGUUGUGUUAGCAUUUUGGUCAAAAGGCUGGACCCCCCCGCCCCCACAAAACAAACAAAAAAAAAUUAUGAUAAUAAUUAACAUUCAUAAAUAAAAAUUAAUAAUGGGUGUGUUAGCAUUUUGGUCAAAAGCGGGUUUGACCUUCACAUUAAUUGGAAUUUUGGAUCUAUAAUAUGAUUUUCACCGAAAAUAUAAUUUUGCCGCUAAUUAUUUGGGUAAUCAGAUAAUAAUAACAAAAAAAUGUUAUCUCUCACCUAUAACUUGAGGAGAUAAUAAUAAAAGUCUUUCAUCAUAAUCUACUGUUAGUUUCUCUUCUUCAUUUUUUUCUCCUUUGAAGUCUUUCAACAAAAAUGGGUGGCAUCAUCUCAACCUUCUUCUCAGCGGACACAAUUCGUCCAAUUUUAUUUUACGUCGGUGGACAAGCAAAGUAUAUAUGGGGUCUUAAAGGUAAUCUCGAUGACUUGCAGACUCAAAAGGAGAACUUGAUUGCGAAAAAACAAGAUCUGCUGAAUAAGGUUAAGCUUGCCGCGCAACAACCCCGAAUCAGACGGACGACGACGGUGGAACUUUGGUUUAAAAGGGUGGAAGAAAUGGAAACUAAAGUUGAAAAUCUGCAAAAAGAAGGAGAUCAACAGGUUGAUAGACUGUGUCUUGGAGGCUUCUGUUCCACGGACUUGAUUUCAAGCUACGACUUCGGCAAAAAAGUGGAGAACUUGAGAGAAAAAGUGAUCGAACUGAAGAAAGAGGGGGAAGCAAUGAAAGAAGUUUAUGAGGGGGUACCAGAAGGUGCAGCGGUUGAAAAAGCUGUUGACCGAACAAUCGUUGGUCAAGAAUCAAUACUUGACCGAGUGUGGAGAUGCAUCACAGAUCAAGAAAAGAAUGAGGAAAUUAUUGGCUUAUAUGGUAUGGGGGGCAUCGGCAAAACUACUCUGUUAAAACAAGUCAACAACAAGUUCUGCAGUGAGGAGCAUGAUUUUGAUGUCGUUAUCUGGUCGGUUGUAUCUAGAGAGCCAAACUUGAAGCAGAUUCAAGAGGAUAUUGGGAAAAGGAUAGGCUUCUCAACAGAUUCAUGGCAGGGAAAAAGUUUUGAAGAAAGGGCUUCAGACAUCACCAACACUUUAAAGCAUAAGAAGUUUGUAUUGUUAUUGGAUGAUAUAUGGGAGUCCGAAAUUGAUUUAACAAAAUUGGGCGUCCCUCUUCGGACACUAGAUUCUGGGUCCAGAAUAGUCUUCACAACUCGUUUUGAGGGUACUUGUGGUAAAAUGGGAGCCCAUAAGAAUCGGUACAAAGUGUUUUGUUUGGGAGAUGACGAUGCCUGGAAAUUAUUUGAGGGGGUGGUCGGGAGUUACGUUCUUAACAAGCAUCCCGACAUUCCGAAGUUAGCCGAGGAUGUGGCACGUCAGUGUCAUGGUUUGCCGCUGGCCCUCAAAACAGUAGGUAAUGCCAUGGCGAG
Molecule: long non-coding RNA, 38358 nt
Filed under: Citrus maxima (pomelo)
Lineage: Eukaryota; Viridiplantae; Streptophyta; Magnoliopsida; Sapindales; Rutaceae
Description: long non-coding RNA (CMAX_LNC000217)
Source: RNAcentral